CAAAACAAAAUCCAAACCACACCAAUGUGCUCUUAAUUGCAAAAGAAAAAUUGCAAGUCUUUGUGUGUGUUGUUGUUUGUUUGCUUGUGGGGGGGGGGAGGAGAAAAAGUGGGGUCACACUUGCUUUUUUUCUUCACACACACACACACACACACACAUGCACACACAAGCUUCUUUUUCUCUUUUGCAAGUCUUUGAUUUUCAAUUUUUCAUUAACUCCUUGUUUAACCAACAACGGAUUACAAUGUUAAAACUUGAAACAAAAACAAAAACAAAAUGA
This 280-nucleotide unclassified non-coding RNA is filed under the name soil metagenome. RNAcentral describes it as "partial internal transcribed spacer 1". The record is from RNAcentral.